RNAcentral lists this ribosomal RNA (457 nucleotides) under uncultured bacterium. RNAcentral describes it as "SSU rRNA". It matches the Rfam family "Bacterial small subunit ribosomal RNA", at positions 26 to 518 of the family's 1533-position model. The record is from RNAcentral.
AGGAUAAACGCUGGCGGCGUGCCUAACACAUGCAAGUCGAACGUCCUACGCAAGUAGGGAGUGGCGGACGGGUGAGUAACACGUGGGCAAUCUACCUUUCGGUGAGGAAUACCGGCGAGAAAUCGCCGACAAUACCGCAUACGUUUCGCAAGAAACAAAGUCGCAAGACGCCGGAGGAGGAGCCUGCGCCCGAUUAGCUGGUUGGUGAGGUAAAAAGCCCACCAAGGCGUCGAUCGGUAGCUGGUCUGAGAGGAUGAUCAGCCACACUGGGAUUGAGAACGGCCCAGACUCCUACGGGGGGCAGCAGUGAGGAAUUUUCGUCAAUGGGGGAAACCCUGAACGAGCAACGCCGCGUGCAGGAUGACGCUUCUCGGAGUGUAAAACUGUCUUUUCUCGGGGAAGAGAACGGACGGUACCGAGGAAUCAAGCCCCGGCUAAACUACGCGCCAGCAGCCGC